Molecule: ribosomal RNA, 333 nt
Filed under: uncultured bacterium
Lineage: Bacteria
Description: bacterial SSU rRNA
Rfam family: Bacterial small subunit ribosomal RNA
Source: RNAcentral
AACGCAGGUGGUUUGGUAAGUCAGGGGUGAAAGUCCACAGCUUAACUGUGGCACUGCCUUUGAUACUACCUUUCUUGAGUGCAUGAGGGGGAAGCGGAAUUCCGAGUGUAGAGGUGAAAUUCGUAGAUAUUCGGAGGAACACCGGUGGCGAAGGCGGCUUCCUGGCAUGUAACUGACACUCAUGUUCGAAAGCGUGGGGAGCAAACAGGAUUAGAUACCCUGGUAGUCCACGCCCUAAACGAUGGGCACUAGGUGUGGGAGGUAUCGACCCCUUCCGUGCCGCAGCUAACGCAUUAAGUGCCCCGCCUGGGGAGUACGGGCCGCAAGGUUGAA